CCCUUAGAUGUUCUGGGCUGCACGCGCGCUACACUGAAGCUAUCAACACGUUUUCCCUCCCUGAGAAGGGCGGGUAACCUUUUGAAUCAGCUUCGUGGUAGGGAUCGGGGCUUGCAAUUGUUCCCCGUGAACCAGGAAUUCCUAGUAGACGCGAGUCAUAAGCUCGCGUCGAUUAAGUCCCUGCCCUUUGUACACACCGCCCGUCGCUACUACCGAUUGAACGUUUUAGUGAGGCAUUUGGACCGACGCAUCUCAGUUUAACCGCUGGUUUGUGUUGGAAAGACUUCCAAACUUGAGCGUUUAGAGGAAGUAAAAGUCGUAACA
RNAcentral lists this ribosomal RNA (324 nucleotides) under uncultured eukaryote. RNAcentral describes it as "partial 18S ribosomal RNA". It matches the Rfam family "Eukaryotic small subunit ribosomal RNA", at positions 1470 to 1796 of the family's 1831-position model. The record is from RNAcentral.